Myodes glareolus (Bank vole) is the source of this 4076-nucleotide non-coding RNA. The record is from RefSeq and is a predicted model, not a curated record. Lineage: Eukaryota; Metazoa; Chordata; Mammalia; Rodentia; Cricetidae.
CCUUCCACGUGGAACCUGGGGAUUGAACUCAGGUUAUCAGAGUUGGCAACAAUCCCCUUUACCUGCUGAGCCGUCCCGUCGGUCCUUAUAUGACAUGUUUAUAACAGAUGAGAAUGUGCUAAGAACUUCACUCUAAUGUUUUGAUUUAACAAAUCAAACGGCCAAGAUAACCUCACGGCCAUAGCUGGCCACAUGAAGGAUCCUCUUGAUCUGACGGUGGUUUGGUUUGAUUAGAAAGUCGUGUCCCAGCGUCUCCUGACUUGAAAGCUCGGGUGGGUCAUUUGCCCGACCAUGUUUCUACCAUGGUCAGAACUGAGUUCCUGAGCACACAGUGAAACCUGCCUGAUCUUUUUUCCCCUGUGAGCUCUGUUCCAAAGCCUGUUGCGCAAGAGUGGGGGUGGAUGAAGAGCCGCAGGUUUCCUUAUGCAACACACUUCCUCCUGAGGUCACCCCCUGGAUGUAUUUAAUUAGGAUGUGUUAGGUCUCAGCGGAGUGGUGACUCCUACCAGCAAAGAGCUGAGACACCACCUGGGAGUCAUUAAGAGCUGAUAGCAUCGUGUGGCAGGCACCGUCAGCCUCUGCUUUGUGAAGAUGAUCCCACUUUGUUUUCUGAGUUGCCCCUGGGUGGGGCUGCGCGUUAGCAGCUAGCCACUUGCCACUGAUGCCCGACACUGUGAAGUACUUGAUAAAAGCCACUUCCCCUCCCUAGACAUUCUCUCGGUUUGCGAGAAAUACACUAGAGUCUUCCGAAGCUCCAGGGCCAUUUCCUUCCAUUAUUUUGCGGAAAUAAGAGCUAAAGGUACUGGGCGAGAGGGACCCAGAUGAGAACUGACUCUCACAAGUUGUCCUUCGACCUCCACCCGCAUUUCGUGGUAAGUUUGUCUAUAUGCACACACAUGUGCAUGUAUGGGCACAUGUGUGCACACACGCCCAAGUGCACACACGCACACACAAAAUAAGUGUAAUACAUUUCUGAAGUCUAGAUUUCUUUGUUGUGUUUCUUCCUUUUCAUUUUCUUUCCUUCUAAUUUUCUAUGUGAAAGCUGACCUUGCCUCAUGGCAUUAGGGAAAAAAAAUUCUUCAAAAACUCUUACUUGAGGAAAGAAAAUGACUAAUCUCUGGAAGUAGAAAUGGAGGUGGACCCGUGUUCUGGAAGCACAGACUCUAAAUACUGAGAACACAGACCCCAGCGAUCAGCACCAGCAAUGUUAGCGAGGACAUGAAGACUGCAUGCUGUACCCUUAGAAGACACAUUUGUGUUCAUGUCCGAGUGGGGCCCAUUUGGGUCACUGGGUGAAAUGUCACGUCUUGUUCCCAGCCUCUGAAGAUUCAAUUACGUGGACCAUUUUCCAGCCACGCUGUUGCAAUGCGGACCGCUCAAAGGGAGCUUCGGAGGCAUCCCUGCCAUCAUAAACAGGAACCCAGCUGUUUGGAUGAUGGAGCUCUGUUCAGUUCAAAGCAUCUGAAAAUGUGGUUGUUCUCAGUGUCGUGGUGAACCUCCCGUGUGGAAAACCCAGGAUCCUUCUGAGCCACACGCGCGUGUGUCAAGACUUGCCGGUGGGCCCAGGUUGGGGCCGGCUGGGACUUUUCCAGGCCUGUGUUCCGCCACUCAGGGAAGGUGAUGAAACGUAUGCUUUGGUGAUUCAGCCUUUGACAGAUGCUGUGACAAUGCCACCUCCCCAGUCCCAAAUCAAAGUCCCAUUUCUACGGCUACCCAUCCCCCUGAUGUCUGAAAACAAACUAGAGCUUCUAGAACUUCGGGCUCAUUUAAGUUAAAAGCACUGGGCAGGUGAGGCCCAUAUGACGAAGAGGGCAAACGUGAGAGGCUGAUGAAUCCCACUGGCCUGCUCUCCGUGGUAACCUGUCUCCAGUCUCUCUGCCUCCUUGGGUAGAGAGGGACAGUCAGGUUCCGGAGCUCUAGUUGGAAGACCACAUGACCUGUGAAACCCCUACUACUGGGCUGGGCUCCUGAAGGGGCACUGGGUACUGCACAGCGGCACAGGUGGGGCAGUCCAGGGCACUACACGCACUUUCCAGGGGAAGAACCAUGGGAUGGGAGAGGAUGGGUCAGUUAGUUUGUCCAGUACGUGGGAAACCAUUCACACUGCAUACAGGUAGAUGAGAAGCUGUGUUUCCACUAUUUUUUUCUUCUCCCCCCCACUCCCGCACCUCACAGCCCAGAGAAAGAGGUCUUGGAGUCUAUUGAUAAUGUUUCACUUUUCUUCCUUCGAUGACAAACUCAACUACUUCCCAAGCACAGGAGAACUCAAGUGCCCCCAACAACUCAGUCCUGCAAGGCCCUUUUAAGUACCCGGGACCUACAUCAGGCGUUUCAUAGCUGUCUGUAACUCCAGCUUCCUGGAAUCCAGUGACAUUAUCUGGCCUCUAAAGGUACCUUCACACACACACACACACACACACACACACACACACACAUACACACACACACACAUACAUACAAACACACACACACACACACACACACACAAAAUAUAAAAGAUGCGUAUUGAAUGUUUAUCCCUGACUUGGAGAGAUUGUAUUUCAACAGCAGGUGAAUAUUCAUCUCUAGUGUUGUUUGACUUCUGAGGGUCUCGUCACAAAUACUGUCGUUCCCUUCCUCUUUCUCCUCAGUUUAUGCAGAGUUUUUCUUUUUCAUUUUCUGACCAUCUCUCUGCCCAAAUGCUUGGGGGCUGGGGAAGGCUGAUGUUUGGAGAGAUGGUUUUCCUGCACAGGUGUACUCCGCCCAACAUGCGUGUGCUCUUGCCCAGCUUGGCGACCACUCCACCAGAAAGCAUGGCACUCACGGCAUUCCCACCCCUGCACCCUUGAACCCCAUCACUGCCUUGGACAAUAGGAUGUGGGGAGACAGUGUCGAGACACUUGCAAGGCUAACUCUAACACGCAGCACGGUUUUUGCCUAGCUUUCUUGCACUCUCAACCUGAGUAUCGGGCAUCUUGUUUUCAGGAAGCCCAGGCCCCAAGAAGAGACAUCACAUGGGUCUUUGAGCCAAAAGCCAGCGAGAGCCAACACAGGUCAACAGCCCUGUCAGAGAAUGGCCAUCAGGGGGUCUCAACGUUUACUUUGGAGAUUUCUCAGUGGGGACCUCAGACACCAUGGAGUAGAGAUAAGACAUUUGCUGCUUGUUCAACUUCCUGCCCAACAGGAAGUAGGAGAAGUGAUAAAGGGGAUUAUUUCAAGCUGCUGGGCUUGGGGUUUUGUUAGGUAGCAGUCAGUCGAUAACUAAAGGGGGGGGGGCUCUUGUCUCACAGCUGAGGAGGGAAAGCUCCAGAAAUCACCAUGCUGGGGGCCCAGCCCUUUCUUCCAGCUUUUCCUUAUGCGAGCUUGUCUGUUCAUGACAUCUUGUGAUGCAAACUGUAAAACACACCACCAGUCUAGAUACAUGCAAGUUCAUGUAUGUGGCGUGUUAUGUACCUGGUGAUAAAAUUGAAACAUAUGAGAAAAAUACUAAGAAAAUAACAUAAAUCCAAUCUGUGCUUGUUCUCCUCCACUGUAGAAUUGUGUCUCUGAACGUCACUGUGAUGCAGGUUUUUUGAGUAAUGAAAGUAGCAGGGUUUAAGGAAAAAUGUGUGUGUUUAAGGGAAGAAUACACAGUGCAGAAACAAUUUUGUGAUUUAGCUAUUACAAAGUAAGUUACCAACUUUGUAAAAUAAAUGUAAUUUCCUUGCACCAUGGCCCUUGACAAGCACAUGCUGUUUGGGGAAUGGCCUGGUUUUGGAGAAGGGGUGGCAGAAACACAGUGAUAUGACCAGAAAAGGGUCACUGCUUGAAGUGCAAGACCUGCUGAUGCAGUAUCUCAGUGGCCAUUUUUAACCUAUGGGACUUUAAGGCAAUGAAUAACUGGUUUGUAUUGUACUGUAUCAUAGUAUAUUAUAUUGUGCUGUAUGUAUUUGUACUGUACUGUGUUGUAUUAUACUGUACUAUACAGUAUUAUAUUGUACUGUGUCUUAUUGUACAGUGUUGUACUGUACUAUAUUGUGUUAUUUUCAGAGAAAGAUCUCUGUGUAAUGUAUAUUCUUGCAGGUUUUGUCUUCCGGUAAAAAUCCUCUUUGUCCAGA